This 500-nucleotide ribosomal RNA is filed under the name uncultured bacterium. Its description in RNAcentral is "bacterial SSU rRNA". It matches the Rfam family "Bacterial small subunit ribosomal RNA", at positions 8 to 511 of the family's 1533-position model. The record is from RNAcentral.
AGAGUUUGAUCAUGGCUCAAUUGAACGCUGGCGGCAUGCCUUACACAUGCAAGUCGAACGGUAACAGGUUAAGCUGACGAGUGGCGAACGGGUGAGUAAUGUAUCGGAACGUGCCCAGUCGUGGGGGAUAACUACUCGAAAGAGUGGCUAAUACCGCAUACGACCUGAGGGUGAAAGCGGGGGACCGUAAGGCCUCGCGCGAUUGGAGCGGCCGAUAUCAGAUUAGCUAGUUGGUGGGGUAAAAGCCCACCAAGGCGACGACCUGUAGCUGGUCUGAGAGGACGACCAGCCACACUGGGACUGAGACACGGCCCAGACUCCUACGGGAGGCAGCAGUGGGGAAUUUUGGACAAUGGACGCAAGUCUGAUCCAGCCAUGCCGCGUGCGGGAAGAAGGCCUUCGGGUUGUAAACCGCUUUUGUCAGGGAAGAAACGAGUUUCUCUAAUACAGAGACUUAAUGACGGUACCUGAAGAAUAAGCACCGGCUAACUACGUGCCAG